GUUAUAGGGUCAAGUGACUAAGUGCAUGUGGUGGAUGCCUUGGCGAUUACAGGCGAUGAAGGACGUGAUAGCCUGCGAAAAGCCUCGGGGAGCUGGCAAAUUAGCUUUGAUCCGGGGAUAUCCGAAUGGGGAAACCCACCCUUAGGGGUAUCGCAUACUGAAUACAUAGGUAUGCGAGGCAAACCGAGUGAACUGAAACAUCUAAGUAGCUCGAGGAAAAGACAUCAACCGAGAUUCCGAAAGUAGUGGCGAGCGAAAUCGGAACAGCCUAGUCCUCUUUAGCAUUUGACUUAUCAAAACGGAAUGGAAAGUCCGGCCAUAGUGGGUGAUAGCCCCGUAUGAGAAAAGUCAUUUGUGGAACUGAGUGGACGAUAAGUAGGGCGGGACACGUGAAAUCCUGUCUGAAGAUGGGGGGACCAUCCUCCAAGGCUAAAUACUCGUAAUCGACCCGUAAUCGACCGAUAGUGAACAAGUACCGUGAGGGAAAGGCGAAAAGAACCCCGGGAGGGGAGUGAAAUAGAUCCUGAAACCGCAUGCAUACAAAAAGUAGGAGCCUCGCAAGGGGUGACUGCGUACCUUUUGUAUAAUGGGUCAGCGACUUACAUUCAGUGGCAAGGUUAACCGAAUAGGGAAGCCGAAGAGAAAUCGAGUCCGAAUAGGGCGUCUAGUCGCUGGGUGUAGACCCGAAACCAAGUGAUCUAUCCAUGGCCAGGAUGAAGGUGCGGUAACACGCACUGGAGGUCCGAACCGACUAGUGUUGCAAAACUAGCGGAUGAGCUGUGGAUAGGGGUGAAAGGCUAAACAAACUUGGAAAUAGCUGGUUCUCUCCGAA
This 832-nucleotide ribosomal RNA is filed under the name Flavobacterium johnsoniae. RNAcentral describes it as "partial 23S ribosomal RNA". It matches the Rfam family "Bacterial large subunit ribosomal RNA", at positions 1 to 863 of the family's 2925-position model. The record is from RNAcentral. Lineage: Bacteria; Pseudomonadati; Bacteroidota; Flavobacteriia; Flavobacteriales; Flavobacteriaceae.